Molecule: long non-coding RNA, 371 nt
Filed under: Medicago truncatula (barrel medic)
Lineage: Eukaryota; Viridiplantae; Streptophyta; Magnoliopsida; Fabales; Fabaceae
Description: lncRNA gene17705
Rfam family: 5' ureB small RNA
Source: Rfam by way of RNAcentral
AUAUACUAAUUGAGGGCAUAUAAAAUGCACAUGGCAAUCUAUAGCCCCAGCUGUUACAAUCAAGCCCUCUCCAGCAAUAACUUCAGUAUUAGCCUAGAUAUGGGACGGUGCAAUAUAAGCUGUAUCAAGAUAAUGAAGGAAUUCAACCCAUUGCCGCAGAUAUCUGGAAAGGAACUUACCCCAAAGAUCAUAUUAACACCGUGCAUAACAUCUGGAUUUCCUGCUUUUCCAAUUGAGGCAAUAAGGCCAUCUUUAAUGCCAAUAUCUGCUUUGAAAAUUCCAGUAUAAUCAACGACCACAGCAUUUGUUAUAACGGUAUCGAAGGAGCCAUCAGGUGAAUGGCCACACGACUGACCCAUUCCAUCUCUUAU